This is a non-coding RNA of Cordylochernes scorpioides, 74 nucleotides long. Lineage: Eukaryota; Metazoa; Arthropoda; Arachnida; Pseudoscorpiones; Chernetidae. The record is from the annotation of a GenBank genome assembly.
UGCCGAAAACCGGAAUUGAACCAGAGACUUUUAGAUAUUCAGUUUAACGCUUUCCCAAACUGAGCUAUUUGGGA